RNAcentral lists this ribosomal RNA (460 nucleotides) under uncultured bacterium. RNAcentral's name for it is "partial 16S ribosomal RNA". It matches the Rfam family "Bacterial small subunit ribosomal RNA", at positions 338 to 795 of the family's 1533-position model. The record is from RNAcentral.
CCUACGGGGGGCUGCAGUGAGGAAUACUGGUCAAUGGACGAGAGUCUGAACCAGCCAAGUAGCGUGAAGGAUGACUGCCCUAUGGGUUGUAAACUUCUUUUAUAUGGGAAUAAAACGUUCCACGUGUGGGAUUUUGUAUGUACCAUAUGAAUAAGGAUCGGCUAACUCCGUGCCAGCAGCCGCGGUAAUACGGAGGAUCCGAGCGUUAUCCGGAUUUAUUGGGUUUAAAGGGAGCGUAGGUGGAUUGUUAAGUCAGUUGUGAAAGUUUGCGGCUCAACCGUAAAAUUGCAGUUGAAACUGGCAGUCUUGAGUACAGUAGAGGUGGGCGGAAUUCGUGGUGUAGCGGUGAAAUGCUUAGAUAUCACGAAGAACUCCGAUUGCGAAGGCAGUUCACUGGACUGCAACUGACACUGAGGCUCGAAAGUGUGGGUAUCAAACAGGAUUAGAUACCCCAGUAGUC